Molecule: ribosomal RNA, 495 nt
Filed under: uncultured bacterium
Lineage: Bacteria
Description: bacterial SSU rRNA
Rfam family: Bacterial small subunit ribosomal RNA
Source: RNAcentral
GAUGAACGCUAGCGGGAGGCCUAACACAUGCAAGCCGAGCGGUAUUGUUUCUUCGGAAAUGAGAGAGCGGCGUACGGGUGCGGAACACGUGUGCAACCUGCCUUUAUCUGGGGGAUAGCCUUUCGAAAGGAAGAUUAAUACUCCAUAAUAUAUUGAACGGCAUCGUUUAAUAUUGAAAGCUCCGGCGGAUAGAGAUGGGCACGCGCAAGAUUAGCUAGUUGGUGAGGUAACGGCUCACCAAGGCGAUGAUCUUUAGGGGGCCUGAGAGGGUGAUCCCCCACACUGGUACUGAGACACGGACCAGACUCCUACGGGAGGCAGCAGUGAGGAAUAUUGGUCAAUGGGUGCAAGCCUGAACCAGCCAUCCCGCGUGAAGGACGACUGCCCCUAUGGGUUGUAAACUUCUUUUGUAUAGGGAUAAACCUACUCUCGUGUAGGGUAGCUGAAGGUACUAUACGAAUAAGCACCGGCUAACUCCGUNCCAGCAGCCGCGGU